AUAAAUUAGAAUAUUUGUGUCCCAAUGGCUGAAAUCCACAAUCCUGAAAUCAUGAUUCUCAAAGAGAAAGUAUAAUCAAUUAAACACAGAAGUUUCAUCAGUGAGUGCGUCCCUUUAAAUAAUAAUUUUGAAUAUUCUUGUUUAAACAUAAAACUAAUCAUGGCAACAAUCCCAUGUUCGAAGCAAAAGUUAGACCAUUAUCCCAAUUUAUCACAAUUUCAUCCACAUAGGCCAACACAUAAAUGUAGCAUCAUAAACGAUGCGCAAACUCAUCCCCAGGUGAAAAAUCAAUUGGCAAAGUAUCCCAUCAAAAUAUAUCAUCCCAAUAACGGCGGCUCAUACACACAGUGGUGAAUAAAAUUAAAUAACGAGAGUUCACAGGCUUCAAACAUAAUAGGCUUUCUAAGAAUAAUAUUCACUGCUCCGCCCAUUUUCCUUCCCUAUCCUCAUUCAUGACUCCGCAUGAAUUUAAUCAACAAUAGUUCAAAUCAAAUAUCCCACAUCAAGCAAAGGCAGAGAAAGUUAAAAUCCCAAGUGCAGUUCUACAACGGGAUUUACAACCAUAAAUAUUGUAGAAAAUUUCAAUCUCAAUAAGAGGUUUCGAGUCGUUACUCCCUGUUCCAGGUAUUUUGGAAAGACGGAUGAAGGUGGUCAUUCCCUAGCUUUCAUGGCGGCAUAAGAAUCGCCAGCGAGGAUUUUGGAUUUGGUCCAGAAAAAAGCACUGCUCUCCUGCAGUCACUACUGUUCUUUGUUAGCUAAUUCAGCAGCUUCUCUUAGCUCCACUGAUUGCCUUGUCUAUCUCAAUAUCCCAUGUUAUAUAAGCUUGUCAAGCUUCCACCCUAGACCCGCGUUUGCCAGAGCUGGUUGAAGCUAGGUUAUAAUUGGCCAAGCAUCCCUAUUCACAAGAGUUAUUGGCACUUGUACGAUUAAUAUUCACAAGUAGAGUCGAAGCAAUUCAUAUUUGAAAGAUCAAUUUCAAAAGUUAUGAAAUCUGAUUUUAAAAUACUGUGCCACGUUUUGAAUUUGUCAAGUCAAGGUGUUAUCACGGUUGACACCCGCAAUUUGGCGUAACUAUAAGUAUGCUUCCCAUAGAACCUCAAAAUAAAUACCAAAGCAAAGCAAAACAUCCCUAUUAGCCUCAACUAAACUACACAAAAUCAAAUCUUAAAUGAGUAAAUUUCGAGUAAUGUAAUCAAGCUCAAUCCCGCGAAAAAUUAAACUCAAUGAAGACUCUUCCACAAAUGCAUUUUGCCGUAUGUUAUGCCCUUAUCUUGACCAAUUAAACCCACAAUAACAAUCAAACCAACAUUCAACAGAAUAGUAGCAGAAGGAACAUGACGUAUUCACCAGAAUUCAAUGCAGUAAAGAGAGGCAAAUGACUUAGCUUUUGUUUCUGUUUCUUCAUGAGACUCGGAUCUUCAUUUGAAGGUUGUGUGGCCAAAGUAAGUUUACAUUCCGACCCUUUUGGUGAUCGAAAUACAUAAAUAAUGUCAGUUGUGGCUUCGAAGAUAGAAAGUCUCUUCCAAAGCUAAAUUAACAAUGUCGAGCCCGUCUUCAAUCUUCAUCAAUCGCAUUGAGGGCUGUCGUCACAGCAGCACCCUAGUCAGCUCUACCAUCCCUUCGCUUAGGCAGUCAGUGUGCGUUCAACUGCAAACGCUGAAUAUUUAUCACACAAAGGCAUCUCCGGCGCUGAGCUAAGAUGGUGCACGGAUUAGAAAGACUCCUAAUGCAAAACCAAAGCCGAGUCAUAACCGUAUUAGUUCCGAACUUAGAGCUAAAUCCCAGCAAUAUCAAUCGCAAAAUCAGAGUAAAAUCCUGAUAAUGUCAAUCCCAAAUUUAGAGAAAUCAUCGUGAAAUCAAAACAAGAGCACAACAAAAUCUAGCAACAUCACUUAACUUUUUAUUGACCGAAAGUGUGGAUGCUUUCCUGAUAUCCUCUAUAUUUAGUCAACUCUAUCAUUGACAACAUUAUGAUAUCACAAUUUCGUCAGGCAAUUAGAGUAAGCAACAUAACAUGUUUAGUAGAUCAUGCCAUCAUCAUCCUCGAUCACUCAGACUCACAAAAGAAAUCAAGUAUAGUGGAGACUUUUCAUAGAUGCAAAUUGCACCACGUUAUGCCCUAUAUCCAUCAAUUGAACCAACAAUCAACUAGUACAGCAGUAGCAAGUAAUUGACUCAUCAAGACUUAGUACAGUGAAAAUAGAUAACUUAGCUUUUGACGAAGGAAGAACAACUGCUCUGUUCAGUCGAGCAUGCAGCGGAGCGGCGAACCUCGCCAGCCCUCGGUGGCAGCGGAGGCAGCGAUUCUGAUAGUGGAACCUAGGGCUCUGUUCCUGUCUUUGUUGGGCUCGAAUGAAUCUGUUCCAGAGGGCGGUAAUUCGUCGCGGCAUCGAUUUUCGCCGGAUAAGGCGACGGGGUGGCUUGAAUCUAUGUGGGAGAAUGUUCUGUGGUGUUUAAGAG
This 2460-nucleotide long non-coding RNA is filed under the name Salvia miltiorrhiza (redroot sage). RNAcentral describes it as "long non-coding RNA (SMIL_LNC012630)". Lineage: Eukaryota; Viridiplantae; Streptophyta; Magnoliopsida; Lamiales; Lamiaceae. The record is from RNAcentral.